GAUGAACGCUAGCUACAGGCUUAACACAUGCAAGUCGAGGGGUAACGAGAGGAAAGCUUGCUUUCCUUGUUGACGACCGGCGCACGGGUGAGUAACGCGUAUCCAACCUGCCCCCAACUAGGGAAUAACCUUGCGAAAGUAAGACUAAUACCCUAUAAUUUCCUCAGAUGUCAUCUGACGAGGAAUAAAGAUUUAUCGGUUGUGGAUGGGGAUGCGUCUGAUUAGCUUGUUGGCGGGGUAACGGCCCACCAAGGCAACGAUCAGUAGGGGUCCUGAGAGGAAGGGCCCCCACAUGGGAACUGAGACACGGUCCAAACUCCUACGGGAGGCAGCAGUGAGGAAUAUUGGUCAAUGGGCGGAAGCCUGAACCAGCCAAGUAGCGUGCAGGAUGACGGCCCUAUGGGUUGUAAACUGCUUUUAUACAGGAAUAAAGUUAGCCACGUGUGGUUAUUUGUAGGUACUGUAUGAAUAAGGACCGGCUAAUUCCGUGCCAGCCGCCGCCGUAA
Molecule: ribosomal RNA, 506 nt
Filed under: uncultured bacterium
Lineage: Bacteria
Description: partial 16S ribosomal RNA
Rfam family: Bacterial small subunit ribosomal RNA
Source: RNAcentral